This 1409-nucleotide ribosomal RNA is filed under the name metagenome. RNAcentral describes it as "SSU rRNA". It matches the Rfam family "Eukaryotic small subunit ribosomal RNA", at positions 333 to 1801 of the family's 1831-position model. The record is from RNAcentral.
GUAUUGGACUACCAUGGCAGUAACGGGUAACGAAGAAUUAGGGUUCGAUUUCGGAGAUGGAGCAUGAGAAACGGCUACCACAUCUAAGGAAGGCAGCAGGCGCGUAAAUUACCCAAUCCUGACUCAGGGAGGUAGUGACAAGAAAUAGCAAACCGGGAACCUCAUGGUUUCACGGUAUUGCAAUGAGAACAAUUUAAAACCCUUAGCGAGAAUCAAGUGGAGGACAAGUCUGGUGCCAGCACCCGCGGUAAUUCCAGCUCCACUAGCGUAUAUUAAAGUUGUUGCAGUUAAAAAGCUCGUAGUUGAACCUCUGUCUGGGGCUAGUUUUGGCUUUGGCCAGGCUAGUUCUAGGCAUCCGCCUACAAGACUUAGAGGGCAUUCAGUUGUUCACUAGGAGGAGUAGGCAUUUUACUUUGAAAAAAUUAGAGUGUUUAAGGCAGGCAAACGCCCGCAUAUAUUAGCAUGGAAUAAUAGAAUAGGACACUUUUCCAUUUCGUUGGUUUGGAAUCGUGUAAUGAUUAAUAGGGACAGUUGUGGGCAUUUGUAUUUAAUUGUCAGAGGUGAAAUUCUUGGAUUUAUUAAAGACAAACUAACGCGAAAGCAUUUGCCAAGGAUGUUUUCAUUAAUCAAGAACGAAAGUUAGGGGAUCAAAGACGAUCAGAUACCGUCCUAGUCUUAACUAUAAACUAUUCCGACUCAAUGUUUGACUGGCUUAUAUAACCAGUUGAGCGUUGUAUGAGAAAUCAAAGUCUUUAGGUUCUGGGGGGAGUAUGGUUGCAAAGCUGAAACUUAAAGGAAUUGACGGAAGAGCACAACCAGGAGUGGAUUCUGCGGCUUAAUUUGACUCAACACGGGGAAACUUACCAGGUUAAAACAAUAGUGGGAUUGACAGUUUGAGAGCGCUUUCUUGAUUGGUUGGGUGGUGGUGCAUGGCCGUUCUUAGUUGGUGGAGUGAUUUGUCUGCUUAAUUGCGUUAACGAACGAGACCUUAACCUGCUUACUAGACUGGCGAUCAUCAAUCGUUAGCUCUUCUUAGAGGGACUUUGGUUGUUUUAACUCCAAGGAAGUUUGAGGCAAUAACAGGUCUGUGAUGCCCUUAGAUAUCCUGGGCCGCACGCGUCAUACAAUGACUAGUUCAGAAAGUUUUCUCCUGACCCGAAAGGGGAUGGGUAAUCUUGAUAAUACUAGUCGUGUUAGGGAUCGAUCUUUGCAAUUAUAGAUCUUGAGCGAGGAAUUCCUAGUAAGUGCGGUUCAUCAGACCGUACUGAUUACGUCCCUGCUCUUUGUACACACCACCCGUCGCUUCUACCGAGUGGGUGGUCCGGUGAGAUAAUUGAACUUCGCAGGUAACUGAGAGGAAAGAUUAUCAAACCUAUCCACCUCGAGGAAGAAGAAGUCGUAACAAGGUU